RNAcentral lists this ribosomal RNA (253 nucleotides) under uncultured bacterium. RNAcentral's name for it is "partial 16S ribosomal RNA". It matches the Rfam family "Bacterial small subunit ribosomal RNA", at positions 524 to 776 of the family's 1533-position model. The record is from RNAcentral.
UACGAAGGGGGCUAGCGUUGCUCGGAAUCACUGGGCGUAAAGGGCGCGUAGGCGGCGAACCAAGUCAGAUGUGAAAGUCCUGGGCUUAACCUGGGGACUGCAUUUGAUGCUGGUUUGCUUGAAUUCGGGAGAGGAUAGCGGAAUUCCCAGUGUAGAGGUGAAAUUCGUAGAUAUUGGGAAGAACACCGGUGGCGAAGGCGGCUAUCUGGACCGACACUGACGCUGAGGCACGAAAGCGUGGGGAGCAAACAGG